This 1317-nucleotide ribosomal RNA is filed under the name Frondihabitans sp. RNAcentral's name for it is "bacterial SSU rRNA". It matches the Rfam family "Bacterial small subunit ribosomal RNA", at positions 85 to 1414 of the family's 1533-position model. Lineage: Bacteria; Bacillati; Actinomycetota; Actinomycetes; Micrococcales; Microbacteriaceae. The record is from RNAcentral.
CUGGGGAUUAGUGGCGAAACGGGUGAGUAACACGUGAGUAACCUGCCCUUGACUCUGGGAUAAGCGUUGGAAACGACGUCUAAUACCGGAUAUGACACCUGACCGCAUGGUCUGGGUGUGGAAAGAAUUUUGGUCAAGGAUGGACUCGCGGCCUAUCAGGUAGUUGGUGAGGUAACGGCUCACCAAGCCGACGACGGGUAGCCGGCCUGAGAGGGUGACCGGCCACACUGGGACUGAGACACGGCCCAGACUCCUACGGGAGGCAGCAGUGGGGAAUAUUGCACAAUGGGCGAAAGCCUGAUGCAGCAACGCCGCGUGAGGGACGACGGCCUUCGGGUUGUAAACCUCUUUUAGUAGGGAAGAAGCGAAAGUGACGGUACCUGCAGAAAAAGCACCGGCUAACUACGUGCCAGCAGCCGCGGUAAUACGUAGGGUGCAAGCGUUGUCCGGAAUUAUUGGGCGUAAAGAGCUCGUAGGCGGUUUGUCGCGUCUGCUGUGAAAUCUGGGGGCUCAACCCCCAGCCUGCAGUGGGUACGGGCAGACUAGAGUGCGGUAGGGGAGAUUGGAAUUCCUGGUGUAGCGGUGGAAUGCGCAGAUAUCAGGAGGAACACCGAUGGCGAAGGCAGAUCUCUGGGCCGUAACUGACGCUGAGGAGCGAAAGCAUGGGGAGCGAACAGGAUUAGAUACCCUGGUAGUCCAUGCCGUAAACGUUGGGAACUAGAUGUAGGGGCCAUUCCACGGUUUCUGUGUCGCAGCUAACGCAUUAAGUUCCCCGCCUGGGGAGUACGGCCGCAAGGCUAAAACUCAAAGGAAUUGACGGGGGGCCCGCACAAGCGGCGGAGCAUGCGGAUUAAUUCGAUGCAACGCGAAGAACCUUACCAAGGCUUGACAUAUACCGGAAACGUCCAGAGAUGGUCGCCCCGCAAGGUCGGUAUACAGGUGGUGCAUGGUUGUCGUCAGCUCGUGUCGUGAGAUGUUGGGUUAAGUCCCGCAACGAGCGCAACCCUCGUUCUAUGUUGCCAGCACGUUAUGGUGGGAACUCAUAGGAGACUGCCGGGGUCAACUCGGAGGAAGGUGGGGAUGACGUCAAAUCAUCAUGCCCCUUAUGUCUUGGGCUUCACGCAUGCUACAAUGGCCGAUACAAAGGGCUGCGAUACCGUAAGGUGGAGCGAAUCCCAAAAAGUCGGUCUCAGUUCGGAUUGAGGUCUGCAACUCGACCUCAUGAAGUCGGAGUCGCUAGUAAUCGCAGAUCAGCAACGCUGCGGUGAAUACGUUCCCGGGCCUUGUACACACCGCCCGUCAAGUCAUGAAAGUCGG